Molecule: non-coding RNA, 23 nt
Filed under: Arabidopsis thaliana (thale cress)
Lineage: Eukaryota; Viridiplantae; Streptophyta; Magnoliopsida; Brassicales; Brassicaceae
Source: RNAcentral
UUAUCUGCCAAUAGAACCGUGCA